RNAcentral lists this ribosomal RNA (253 nucleotides) under uncultured bacterium. Its description in RNAcentral is "partial 16S ribosomal RNA". It matches the Rfam family "Bacterial small subunit ribosomal RNA", at positions 524 to 776 of the family's 1533-position model. The record is from RNAcentral.
UACGGGGGGGGCAAGCGUUGUUUGGAAUUACUGGGCGUAAAGGGCGCGUAGGCGGCUUUUCAAGUGACGGGUGAAAUCCCUCGGCUUAACCGAGGAACUGCCUGUCAGACUGGAAGGCUUGAGACCGGGAGAGGUGAGUGGAAUUCCCAGUGUAGCGGUGAAAUGCGUAGAUAUUGGGGGGAACACCAGUGGCGAAGGCGGCUCACUGGACCGGAACUGACGCUGAGGCGCGAAAGCGUGGGGAGCAAACAGG